This 481-nucleotide ribosomal RNA is filed under the name uncultured bacterium. Its description in RNAcentral is "partial 16S ribosomal RNA". It matches the Rfam family "Bacterial small subunit ribosomal RNA", at positions 28 to 507 of the family's 1533-position model. The record is from RNAcentral.
GACGAACGCUGGCGGCGUGCUUAACACAUGCAAGUCGAACGGGAUCCGGGCUUUCGGGUUUGGUGAGAGUGGCGAACGGGUGAGUAACACGUGAGUAACCUGCCCCCUUCUUUGGGAUAACGUCGGGAAAUCGGCGCUAAUACUGGAUAUUCUUGCUGCAUCGCCUGGUGUGGUUUGGAAAGGGUUUCUGGUGGGGGAUGGGCUCGCGGCCUAUCAGCUUGUUGGUGGGGUGAUGGCCUACCAAGGCUUUGACGGGUAGCCGGACUGAGAGGGUGUCCGGCCACACUGGGACUGAGACACGGCCCAGACUCCUACGGGAGGCAGCAGUGGGGAAUAUUGCACAAUGGGCGCAAGCCUGAUGCAGCGACGCCGCGUGAGGGAUGACGGCCUUCGGGUUGUAAACCUCUUUCAGUAUGGAACAAGGAUCCUUCGUUUGGGGGGUUUGAGGGUACGUGCAGAAGAAGCGCCGGCUAACUACGUG